RNAcentral lists this long non-coding RNA (213 nucleotides) under Ananas comosus (pineapple). RNAcentral's name for it is "long non-coding RNA (ACOM_LNC025763)". The record is from RNAcentral. Lineage: Eukaryota; Viridiplantae; Streptophyta; Magnoliopsida; Poales; Bromeliaceae.
AUAUAUAUAUAUAUAUAUAUAGAAUUGAGCUCCUAUGCUUUUAAAAGUACCAAGUUAUUGGUGCUUGUAGAUUUUUAGCCAUUGGAUUAAGAGAUAUGCGGUUAGGAUGAUGUAGGACCCCCUAGGGUUAAGUGGGUGGUUGGUUGAAUAGUAUAAUCUAAUGGUUGAAAAUGAUCCAAGGAGUAGAUCUAACGGUAAUAAACUUACAAGCAC